Non-coding RNA from Salmo salar (Atlantic salmon), 54 nucleotides. The record is from Rfam. NCBI's taxonomy places the organism in Eukaryota, Metazoa, Chordata, Actinopteri, Salmoniformes, Salmonidae.
CAUAAGACUGACUGUAAGUCGCUUUGGAUAAAAGUGUCUGCUAAAUGGCAUUUA